RNAcentral lists this ribosomal RNA (253 nucleotides) under uncultured bacterium. RNAcentral's name for it is "partial 16S ribosomal RNA". It matches the Rfam family "Bacterial small subunit ribosomal RNA", at positions 524 to 776 of the family's 1533-position model. The record is from RNAcentral.
UACAGAGACUGCAGGCGUUAUUCGGAUUCACUGGGCGUAAAGGGUGCGCAGGCGGUUGGGUGUGUCAGAUGUGAAAUCCCGAGGCUCAACCUCGGAACUGCGUCUGAAACUACUCGACUAGAGUACUGGAGAGGGUAACGGAAUUCACGGUGUAGCAGUGAAAUGCGUAGAUAUCGUGAGGAACACCAGAGGCGAAGGCGGUUACCUGGACAGUUACUGACGCUCAGGCACGAAAGCAUGGGGAGCAAAAGGG